RNAcentral lists this ribosomal RNA (1158 nucleotides) under uncultured bacterium. RNAcentral describes it as "bacterial SSU rRNA". It matches the Rfam family "Bacterial small subunit ribosomal RNA", at positions 299 to 1498 of the family's 1533-position model. The record is from RNAcentral.
GAUUAGCGCCACCACUGGAACUGAGAACACGUCAGAUCUACGGAGCAGCGGUGGGAAUAUGCCAAUGGGGAAUCUGAUGCAGCAUCGCCGCGUGGAGGAUGACACAUUUCGGUGCGUAACUCCUUUUAUAUGAGAAGAUAAUGACGUAUCAUAUGAUAGCACGGCUAACUCGUGCCAGCAGCCGCGGUAAUACGGAGGGUGCAAGCGUUACUCGGAAUCACUGGGCGUAAAGCGCGCGCAGGCGGCUAUUUAAGUUGGAUGUGAAAGCCUACGGCUCAACCGUAGAACUGCAUCCAAAACUAUUUAGCUAGAGUGUGGGAGAGGAAGAUGGAAUUAGUUGUGUAGGGGUAAAAUCCGUAGAGAUAACUAGGAAUACCAAAAGCGAAGGCAAUCUUCUGGAACACUACUGACGCUGAGGCGCGAAAGCGUGGGGAGCAAACAGGAUUAGAUACCCUGGUAGUCCACGCAGUAAACGAUGAAUGUUAGUCGUCGGGUAGCUAGUCUAUUCGGUGAUGCAGCUAACGCAUUAAACAUUCCGCCUGGGGAGUACGGUCGCAAGAUUAAAACUCAAAGGAAUAGACGGGGACCCGCACAAGUGGUGGAGCAUGUGGUUUAAUUCGAAGAUACGCGAAGAACCUUACCUAGCCUUGACAUAUUAAAGAACACUUUAGAGAUAGAGUGGUGCCUUCGGGAGCUUUUAUACAGGUGCUGCACGGCUGUCGUCAGCUCGUGUCGUGAGAUGUUGGGUUAAGUCCCGCAACGAGCGCAACCCUCGUCACUAGUUACUAACGGUUAGGCCGAGGACUCUAGUGAGACUGCCUUCGCAAGGAGGAGGAAGGUGAGGACGACGUCAAGUCAUCAUGGCCCUUACGGCUAGGGCAACACACGUGCUACAAUGGUUGGGACAAUGAGACGCGAUACCGCGAGGUGGAGCAAAUCUAUAAACCCAAUCUCAGUUCGGAUUGUAGUCUGCAACUCGACUACAUGAAGCUGGAAUCACUAGUAAUCGUAGAUCAGCUAUGCUACGGUGAAUACGUUCCCGGGUCUUGUACUCACCGCCCGUCACACCAUGGGAGUUGAUUUCACCCGAAGCGGGGAAGCUAAACUGGCUACCCUCCACGGUGGAAUCAGCGACUGGGGUGAAGUCGUAACAAGGUA